This 403-nucleotide ribosomal RNA is filed under the name uncultured bacterium. RNAcentral describes it as "bacterial SSU rRNA". It matches the Rfam family "Bacterial small subunit ribosomal RNA", at positions 976 to 1380 of the family's 1533-position model. The record is from RNAcentral.
UGGGCUUGAAAGUUAGUGACCGCUCCUGAAAGGGAGCUUUCCGCAAGGACACGAAACUAGGUGCUGCAUGGCUGUCGUCAGCUCGUGCCGUGAGGUGUCGGAUUAAGUUCCAUAACGAGCGCAACCCCUAUUUCUAGUUGCCAGCGAGUAAUGUCGGGGACUCUAGAGAAACUGCCCGCGUAAGCGGUGAGGAAGGUGGGGACGACGUCAAGUCAUCACGGCCCUUACGUCCAGGGCGACACACGUGCUACAAUGGUAGGGACAGUGAGUUGCAAGCCGGUAACGGUAAGCUAAUCUACAAACCCUAUCUCAGUUCGGAUCGAGGUCUGCAACCCGACCUCGUGAAGCUGGAAUCGCUAGUAAUCGCAUAUCAGCCAUGAUGCGGUGAAUACGUUCCCGGGCC